CUACGGGUCGCUGCAGUUAGGAAUAAUCUACAAUGCGCGCAAGCGUGAUAGUUUGAAUCAAAGUGCUUUUCGUUUAGAAAAGCUUUUGCCAAAUGUAAAAAGUUUGGCGAAUAAGGACUGGGUAAGACUAGUGCCAGCCGCCGCGGUAAUACUAGCGGUCCAAGUCGCAGCCAUAUUUAUUGGGUCUAAAACAUCCGUAGCUUGCUUUGUAAGUUCCUUGUGAAAUCCUAUAUCUCAAGUAUGGGGCGUGCAAGAAAUACUGCAAAGCUAGAGACUGGAAGACGUAAGGAGUACGUUUGAAGUAAUAGUAAAAUGUGUUAAUCUUAAACGGACUUACAAGAGCGAAGGCACCUUACGAGGACAGUUCUGACAGUAAGGGAUGAAGGCUAGGGGCGCAAAACGGAUUAGAUACCCCCGUAGUC
RNAcentral lists this ribosomal RNA (422 nucleotides) under uncultured archaeon. RNAcentral's name for it is "partial 16S ribosomal RNA". It matches the Rfam family "Archaeal small subunit ribosomal RNA", at positions 323 to 746 of the family's 1478-position model. The record is from RNAcentral.